Molecule: long non-coding RNA, 1077 nt
Filed under: Monodelphis domestica (gray short-tailed opossum)
Lineage: Eukaryota; Metazoa; Chordata; Mammalia; Didelphimorphia; Didelphidae
Description: lncRNA (ENSMODG00000040549.1)
Source: RNAcentral
UUUGUAAACGUGAGUUGGCUAAAAUGGCGAGGGGGACCUCACGAGCCCCCCACUCUCAGCCUAAUGGCUCCUCGGAGCCCUGGUUUGAGCAAAAGGAGUGGAGACAAAGAGGGAGGGAGAAAGAAUAGAAAAAGAAGAUGGGGGAAAGGGGGCGAAAAAACAAAACAUCCUUAGAACACCAUGCUGAGUUUCAAUGGAUUCCAAUCUUCCUGCACAGGCUUCUCUGAGCAGCUCAGAGCCUAAUCCACAGGGCUCAGUGAAUGGCAGCCUGGGUAGAAUUGUCAGAGCCAGAGCAGGGUCUCCAGCCAAAGGCACCCUCCCUGCCCAAGCAGGAAGGAGGCAACCAUGUGACAGCUUAAGCUGGGAUGCGUGUGGGUUUUCAUUCAGCCCAGCCUGGCUGCCCCCUUUAUUUCCCUUUUAUGUUUUCCGUUUUCUCCUUCUUCCCCUUCCUCUAAGCAGAUGAAACUUGAACAUUCUGAAAGACUCCCUGGUGCACCCUCCCCAGCUGAUAAUCUCCUUUUCUAUCAGACUCUCUCCCUCAGACCUGCUGUGCCUGCCAGAUCGAUAAUGUAUUUGCUGUGCUUUUUCCCAAGCCUCAGCCCUUUGGUGAAUAAACCUCAGCUCCUCCAGAGCCAGGGAAUGCACAUGGAUCAGUGGCAACAGGAAUCUGUUCCAAACCCUGGCAUUCUCACUUGCCCUCAGCCAUGGGCCAGCAGGGAAGAGUUCAGCCUCUCAGACAGCCCACUGGUGGCCCCCGUCCCUCAUCCUGGCACUCGGCUCUCCCCACCUUCAAAAAACAGACCUGCUUUGCUUUCCCUGCAUAUGAGACAAUCUAGUGUGUAGAAUCAUAAGCAACAAACAGCAUGAUCACAAGCAUUCCUCAGCUCCAUAGCAACAUUCUCCGUCGAAGGAAAAGGACAAGACAAGAAAAAUACUAAAUCCUGGACAUAUCCCAAAUUAGUCAUAAAGAGUUCAAUGAUUAGAAGCCACCCAAGUCUAAUCCCAGAGUGAAGUGAUUCAGGCUAAGAAAGUACAACUAAGAGUUCAAUAAACAAAAUGACCAUAACCUAAAAGACA